CCCUAGAACAAAUUCUUCUUUGGAAACUCAGAGAGAGCAUGGCCUUACUGACUCCUUGAGUUUGGACAUUUGGCCUCCAGAAUUGUGAAACAAUAGAUUUCCAUUGUUUUAAGCCCUCCAGAUUGUGGCACUUAGUUAAGGCAACCGUAGGAAAGUGAUACAGGGAUGGUGCUAGAAAUCAGCUUACUACAUCUAGCAAAAUUGCAGAUUCCUGAGCCCAUGCUCUCCUUACUGCUGCCACAAUAUGAUAUGAUGGUCUUUGUGGAAAGACCUAUUGAUUUUGAUGCAGGAAUUCAAGGGCCCACAAUCGCUGAUGCAGGAAUUCAAGGGAAGCAGUCUCUUUGGCCCAGCUCUGUUCCCCAUCUCCAGCAAUCUGUGCACCCUCCCCAGCACAAACUCUAUGGCUACAUUCUGACAUUUCCUCAGCCUCUUUGUUCUUCUCCCUUCCCUAC
This 452-nucleotide long non-coding RNA is filed under the name Homo sapiens (human). RNAcentral's name for it is "non-protein coding lnc-HMX3-1:1". Lineage: Eukaryota; Metazoa; Chordata; Mammalia; Primates; Hominidae. The record is from RNAcentral.